UACGGAGGGUGCAAACGUUGCUCGGAAUUAUUGGGCGUAAAGCGCACGUAGGCGGCUCGACAAGUCGGGUGUGAAAUCCCUCGGCUCAACCGAGGAAGUGCAUUCGAAACUGGCGAGCUAGAGUACUGAAGAGGGUCGCGGAAUUCCCGGUGUAGAGGUGAAAUUCGUAGAUAUCAGGAGGAACACCGGUGGCGAAGGCGGGAUCCUGGGCCAGUACUGACGCUGAGGAGCGAAAGCGUGGGGAGCAAACAGG
This 253-nucleotide ribosomal RNA is filed under the name uncultured bacterium. RNAcentral describes it as "partial 16S ribosomal RNA". It matches the Rfam family "Bacterial small subunit ribosomal RNA", at positions 524 to 776 of the family's 1533-position model. The record is from RNAcentral.